GCAGUCGAGCGAACUGAUUAGAAGCUUGCUUCUAUGACGUUAGCGGCGGACGGGUGAGUAACACGUGGGCAACCUGCCUGUAAGACUGGGAUAACUUCGGGAAACCGAAGCUAAUACCGGAUAGGAUCUUCUCCUUCAUGGGAGAUGAUUGAAAGAUGGUUUCGGCUAUCACUUACAGAUGGGCCCGCGGUGCAUUAGCUAGUUGGUGAGGUAACGGCUCACCAAGGCAACGAUGCAUAGCCGACCUGAGAGGGUGAUCGGCCACACUGGGACUGAGACACGGCCCAGACUCCUACGGGAGGCAGCAGUAGGGAAUCUUCCGCAAUGGACGAAAGUCUGACGGAGCAACGCCGCGUGAGUGAUGAAGGCUUUCGGGUCGUAAAACUCUGUUGUUAGGGAAGAACAAGUACGAGAGUAACUGCUCGUACCUUGACGGUACCUAACCAGAAAGCCACGGCUAACUACGUGCCAGCAGCCGCGGUAAUACGUAGGUGGCAAGCGUUAUCCGGAAUUAUUGGGCGUAAAGCGCGCGCAGGCGGUUUCUUAAGUCUGAUGUGAAAGCCCACGGCUCAACCGUGGAGGGUCAUUGGAAACUGGGGAACUUGAGUGCAGAAGAGAAAAGCGGAAUUCCACGUGUAGCGGUGAAAUGCGUAGAGAUGUG
This 661-nucleotide ribosomal RNA is filed under the name Priestia aryabhattai. Its description in RNAcentral is "bacterial SSU rRNA". It matches the Rfam family "Bacterial small subunit ribosomal RNA", at positions 57 to 700 of the family's 1533-position model. The record is from RNAcentral. Lineage: Bacteria; Bacillati; Bacillota; Bacilli; Caryophanales; Bacillaceae.